UACAGAGACUGCAAGCGUUAUUCGGAUUCACUGGGCGUAAAGGGUGCGCAGGCGGCCGUGUGUGUUGGGCGUGAAAGCCCGGGGCUUAACCCCGGAAUUGCACCCAAAACUACACGGCUAGAGCAUUGGAGAGGGUAGCGGAAUUCACGGUGUAGCAGUGAAAUGCGUAGAUAUCGUGAGGAACACCAGAGGCGAAGG
RNAcentral lists this ribosomal RNA (198 nucleotides) under uncultured prokaryote. Its description in RNAcentral is "partial 16S ribosomal RNA". It matches the Rfam family "Bacterial small subunit ribosomal RNA", at positions 524 to 721 of the family's 1533-position model. The record is from RNAcentral.